Long non-coding RNA from Nerophis ophidion (straightnose pipefish), 572 nucleotides. RefSeq lists it as uncharacterized. Lineage: Eukaryota; Metazoa; Chordata; Actinopteri; Syngnathiformes; Syngnathidae. The record is from RefSeq and is a predicted model, not a curated record. The transcript is spliced from 2 exons.
UGGGAGAAGGAGGUGCAUUACGUCAGGAUUAGGUCUCAGCCGGUGUUGUGCCGAAUUCUGCACCCCCGCCGUAAAAUGCACCCCCUGUCGGGAGCGCGCUUACGUCACUCGGUUGCAUCACCCGUCUCGAAAAGUAGCUAAACUCGGCUAAAAUCGCCUCUUUCGGCAUAAAAAUGUACAUAACAAGGUGAAUAAUCCAAGUUGUCUUUACUUUGGAUAUAUUAAUGGAUGGAUUAAUUGUGAUUCUUUAAUGAUUUCGCCGCCAUUGCCUUUAAUGAUUUCGUCGUCAUUCAAUCGCCUCUUUCGGCAGAAAAAUGUACAUAACAAGGUGAAUACUCCAAGUUGUCUUUACUUUGGAUAUAUUAAUGGAUGGAUUAAUUGUGAUUCUUCAAUGAUUUCGCCGUCAUUGCCUUUAAUGAUUUCGUCGUCAUUCAGAGACAUCAAGGAGAACGAAUGUUUGCUGCUUCACUCGACGGGAUCCAAUACAUGUAUUUUAAAAAUAUGACAUUUUCUUUAACUGUAAGAAGCUCAUGGGUGGAUGGAUGAAUACAUUAAUAAAUGAAUGCAUCUGA